ACUACACCUCGUACCUUUUGCAUCAUGACUUAGCCAGUAAGACUCAAGCAAAGAGAACUUUAGUUUGACCCCCCGAAACUAGAUGAGCUACUCCAAGACAGCCUAUUAAUUAGGGCAAACCCGUCUCUGUGGCAAAAGAGUGGGAAGAGCUUUGAGUAGAGGUGAUAAACCUACCGAAUCUAGUUAUAGCUGGUUACCUGAGAAUUGGACCGAAGUUCAGCCUCCCUUUUUCUCCCCUCCUCCCUUAUCUAUUAACCUUAUAGACUCCGAGAAAUAGAGAGAGUUAGUCAAAGGGGGUACAGCCCCUUUGACAUAAGAUACAACUUUUCCAGGCGGGUAAAGAUCAAAAUUAAAAAAGAUAAAAUGUUCCGGUGGGCCUAAAAGCAGCCAUCCGCACAGAAAGCGUUAAAGCUCAGACAUUUUCACAUUCUAAUUAUUUUGAUAACUCCUUCUUAACCCCCUACCCCUAUCAGGUCCCCCUAUGCCCCCAUAGGAGUGACUAUGCUAAUAUGAGUAAUAAGAGGUAAAUUAAACCUCUCCUCGCACGUGUG
RNAcentral lists this ribosomal RNA (551 nucleotides) under Hapalogenys nigripinnis (short barbeled grunter). RNAcentral describes it as "partial 16S ribosomal RNA". It matches the Rfam family "Bacterial large subunit ribosomal RNA", at positions 591 to 1347 of the family's 2925-position model. Lineage: Eukaryota; Metazoa; Chordata; Actinopteri; Lobotiformes; Hapalogenyidae. The record is from RNAcentral.